Nerophis lumbriciformis (worm pipefish) is the source of this 422-nucleotide long non-coding RNA. RefSeq lists it as uncharacterized. The record is from RefSeq and is a predicted model, not a curated record. NCBI's taxonomy places the organism in Eukaryota, Metazoa, Chordata, Actinopteri, Syngnathiformes, Syngnathidae.
GGAAUAAACACAAUUUGAAUGUGUUUCCUGUUUUAUCAUAGGCACUUCCUGUUGCAACAAGACCUGCUAGUAUCAAGUAGUUAAUUGUCACCCGGUGUGUCUUUUUGUGUUUCCUGUCAAGCGAGCCUACAUUGGACACAUGUUUGUUUUGGAGUCAGGCCUAUCUAGGCCACACUGACUGUACCCUGUGGUGUCCCAGGGGGUGGCGAGCAGAACAAACACACCAAGAAGCUGCACCAGCGCCGCCAUCGCUGUGCUCUGCACCGUAUGAAGGGACAAGGAGUGGAGAAGAAAGUGGUGCUGCACGGACGUCUGUACGGGAACAUUCCAGAGACACCUCCCAGAAGACCUUUGAGCCGGUGACUUAACUGAUGAUUUACCACCAACAACCUGCAGAAACCGUUUUGAGAGUAGGUGACGCA